ACGGGAGGCAGCAGUGAGGAAUAUUGGUCAAUGGGCGGAAGCCUGAACCAGCCAAGUCGCGUGAGGGAAGACGGCCCUACGGGUUGUAAACCUCUUCUGCGCGGGGGUAAAGUCGGGGACGGGUCCCCGAUUGCAAGUACCGCGCGAAAAAGGACCGGCUAAUUCCGUGCCAGCAGCCGCGGUAAUACGGAAGGUCCGGGCGUUAUCCGGAUUUAUUGGGUUUAAAGGGAGCGUAGGCGGGCCUUUAAGUCAGUGGUAAAAGCGUGUGGCUCAACCAUACCACGCCAUUGAAACUGGAGGCCUUGAGUGCACACAGGGAUGCUGGAAUUCGUCGUGUAGCGGUGAAAUGCUUAGAUAUGACGAAGAACUCCGAUCGCGAAGGCAGGUGUCCGGGGUGUAACUGACGCUGAGGCUCGAAAGUGCGGGUAUCAAACAGGAUUAGAUACCCUGGUA
Molecule: ribosomal RNA, 453 nt
Filed under: uncultured Alloprevotella sp.
Lineage: Bacteria; Pseudomonadati; Bacteroidota; Bacteroidia; Bacteroidales; Prevotellaceae
Description: partial 16S ribosomal RNA
Rfam family: Bacterial small subunit ribosomal RNA
Source: RNAcentral